RNAcentral lists this ribosomal RNA (496 nucleotides) under uncultured bacterium. Its description in RNAcentral is "partial 16S ribosomal RNA". It matches the Rfam family "Bacterial small subunit ribosomal RNA", at positions 28 to 506 of the family's 1533-position model. The record is from RNAcentral.
GAUGAACGCUGGCGGCGUGCCUAAUACAUGCAAGUCGAGCGAACAGACGAGGAGCUUGCUCCUCUGACGUUAGCGGCGGACGGGUGAGUAACACGUGGAUAACCUACCUAUAAGACUGGGAUAACUUCGGGAAACCGGAGCUAAUACCGGAUAAUAUAUUGAACCGCAUGGUUCAAUAGUGAAAGACGGUUUUGCUGUCACUUAUAGAUGGAUCCGCGCCGCAUUAGCUAGUUGGUAAGGUAACGGCUUACCAAGGCAACGAUGCGUAGCCGACCUGAGAGGGCGAUCGGCCACACUGGAACUGAGACACGGUCCAGACUCCUACGGGAGGCAGCAGUAGGGAAUCUUCCGCAAUGGGCGAAAGCCUGACGGAGCAACGCCGCGUGAGUGAUGAAGGUCUUCGGAUCGUAAAACUCUGUUAUUAGGGAAGAACAAAUGUGUAAGUAACUAUGCACGUCUUGACGGUACCUAAUCAGAAAACCACGGCUAACUACGU